This 148-nucleotide non-coding RNA is filed under the name Homo sapiens (human). Lineage: Eukaryota; Metazoa; Chordata; Mammalia; Primates; Hominidae. The record is from Rfam by way of RNAcentral.
GCUGGGUGUAGUGGUGUGCACCUGUAAUCCCAGCUACUCAGGAGGCUGAGGUGGGAGAAUCGCUUGAACCCGGGAGGCAGAGGUUGCAGUGAGCCGAGAUCCCACCACUGCACUCCAGCCUGGGCAACAAAGUGAGAUUCCGUCUCAG